AGAAAACAAAUCUUUCUGUAUCACUGUCUGACUUCUGAAAGAUGAGAAAAAUAAAUUAAUUUCCCUGUGUGCUUGGGAUUCACUGCCUUUCCUCCUGAUGAAAUUCACAGGAUACAGAUUUCCCUCCAGUGACGUAAGGAGAAUCUUUCUGAUCUUUCUGUGUGCUCCAGCCAGACUACAUCACUUUAAUUUUUAUUUUGGGUGGGGGGCUUUUGCAAACCUGCCAGAAGUUUUGCCCAGUAACUGCAACUGGUUAAUUGCCAUAAGCAUGGGAAGAUCUCAAGAGAAAAGAUGAGGUAAACGCUUUUCUACCCUCAGCGGCACCAUGGCUCUUCCUUUGGUCUAAACGUCUCUCCACCUUACACUGCCAUCAUCUGACAGAGGAUCUAGAGAGAAUAAAAACACUGCUAAACGAAAAGUUGUUUAUGUGACAAGAGAAAGAAAACGGCCUCAGAGGAACAUUAGCGCUUUCUGAUGCUGCCACUGCAAGACACCAUAGGACAGUGUGCACAGCACAGUGCAGGGCAAUAAGAACCAGAAAAUGUUGGGCAAGAAGGAACCUCUUGACAGUGUCACAUAAUACAAAGAGAUACCACCCUCCAACCCUACCAUGGAUUCUUUUACUGUAAAAUAAACUUGGAUUUGUGUCUAACAAUCAAUCUUGGAAAUUAAAGUCCAUAUACAUGCGAGAGAGGACUGUACACCUCCCCAUCAAUAUGCCAUACAACGGAAAGGAAAAGCCAUGCUGUGGGGAUGAUUUUCAAUACACGUUGAAGGCUUCCAGCACUUCUUACAACCAGUUAUCGUACCAUACAUAUCCAUCAUACCCUUAUGCAAGGUACCACUCAGCCUCGCUGCAUCCGUCAAAGGGAUCUUUGUUGCAAAAUUCAGAUCUUAUUAAUUCCUGCACAGCACAAGAAGACAUGGAUAUCUCUUUUCAGUGGAGAUAUAAUUAAAAGACACAUAAUUACUGUUAGAAAAUAUUUCAAGGAAACAUUAGUGUUUCAGUAGGUGAUGUUUGUUUAUAGGUAAUAUUCUGAGCAGUCUUCUAGGCUCCCCUAAGAUUAAAUCAAAACAGUUCACCAGUAAAAAGAUGCCUCCAUUUUUCAGCUGAGCAUCUGAUAUCUUUGCAAUUUCACACAACACUGAAAAAUUUUUUGUUAAUGCUUUAAACCUAAUUAUAGGUUUGAAUAUAGUUUCUAUGCAUUGAGGUCAGUACAAACCUGAUAAAAUCCUCACUAAAGGGAAGAACAUCUGAUUAAGUCAUAUUGAACUCACUUAUUAGAUGAACGGGAGGCAUUGCAAAGUGUUCACUCAGAAAGAAAUAUUUUAUUUCUGUAGAUUUUCUUGUGGAAAGUUUUUUGCUCUUACAUCUUUAUCAACAAACCUCUCUGGAUAUGCUAGAACAGCUCUUUGAGUGGAAACACAUUUUCUAGAAUGAGUUACUUUUUCAUUUAUUCCAACAGAAAAAGAACUAUCUUCUUCUAGAAUAUAAGGAUUAACAUGAACAGCCACAGCUGCCAAAAUUCAUACCUACUCUAACACCAGUAUUAUUCCAAAUGGAGAAGUACUACAUUUCUUUCCUAAUGCAUUUCUUUUGUAACACUUGGAGGAGACAGUUGAUAAAGAGCAAGCUUGGCAACCUACAGUUGUGUGGUACCUUUUGCAGGAAUACAUCCACUAGCCCCAGCAUCACGGCUACACUGUUUGCACAAUAACUUUCUGCCUAUCCCAAUUCCUAUUUCAAUUACAACUGUAUGAGAGAGAUUCUUAGUGUUUUCUCUACUGUUAAACAGCUGCUGCAUUUCAGUGUUGGUGAAAUAGUUUUCAGUUUUUUUAAUGAAAGUGCUUUGGGAUGUCUCUAGCUGAAAGAUGGCAUAGAAAUGCAAAUUAUACUUAGUCAUAUAACUCGGAAUUACCUUUGCAUUUUAUUUUUGACCUGUAUCUGUUUAUAAAGCAAUCCUGAAAAACAGUUACAUUAUCCCUUACAUUAUUGGGAAAACAAGAGAUAGGACUGCCAGCUCUUACAUGAAUGUUGUAAUCCAAUGAACGUUCACGCUGAAAAGUAUCUCCUUUAGUGAAUUUUUUGACAAAACAAUCUAAUUUCAUUUAUAAACUUAGAUAAUAAACCCCAACAUAUUCAUAUCGAAAGCA
RNAcentral lists this long non-coding RNA (2154 nucleotides) under Calidris pugnax (ruff). RNAcentral's name for it is "lncRNA (ENSCPUG00000005292.1)". Lineage: Eukaryota; Metazoa; Chordata; Aves; Charadriiformes; Scolopacidae. The record is from RNAcentral.